RNAcentral lists this long non-coding RNA (314 nucleotides) under Mytilus galloprovincialis (Mediterranean mussel). The record is from RNAcentral. Lineage: Eukaryota; Metazoa; Mollusca; Bivalvia; Mytilida; Mytilidae.
GCCACCAAUACAAAUGGACAGCCAAGAAAUAGCUGCAAGUGCUUACGUGACAUUCAGCACAAUCAACAUUAUCAAUCGUGUUUUCAUUAUUGAGUGCCAUAAUAUUUUAAUUAAGAUUCAUGAUCAUCUUAAAGAUGUUAAAAUCAGAAAACCUUUUUCCUAUCACAUGCUGAGAUUGGAGCCAACUGAACUGGUAUUUCUUUUUUGUCAGAAUAAAAGAAAUUAUAUGUACCAGUAUAUAUAAAAAUACAUCAAUAACAAACUUUAUAACAAUUUUACAUAUACACAACCCAAAAGUUUCAGAUGAAUGAAUC